RNAcentral lists this long non-coding RNA (224 nucleotides) under Bos indicus x Bos taurus (hybrid cattle). Its description in RNAcentral is "lncRNA (ENSBIXG00005016769.1)". Lineage: Eukaryota; Metazoa; Chordata; Mammalia; Artiodactyla; Bovidae. The record is from RNAcentral.
AGAAACAAAAUAAACUGUUUAAAAAACAAAUGCUCACUGCCUCUGACCGGUGGACUUCUCACACAACUAAGUGACGCGUGCUCUGGAACCCGGAACUUUGACAAGAGCACCACUCUUUCAAGAGAAUGUGAGGACGGUCCCUGCCACAGGUCCCUGGAAUGUCCUGACCUCCCAGAGCUCUUAGAACAAAUUAAAUGUUCUUCAUGAAAACAACUGUGUAAGUA